This 454-nucleotide long non-coding RNA is filed under the name Homo sapiens (human). RNAcentral's name for it is "HSALNT0274895". The record is from RNAcentral. Lineage: Eukaryota; Metazoa; Chordata; Mammalia; Primates; Hominidae.
UCUGGCUCUACAGUCUGCGCUCCUGCUGGAGCUGGCAGAGACCAGAGCUGCCACCGCUGCUGCUUCCAGGAGUGUGCAGGUGGCAGCUGCCGCUGAGCCCGCGGCGGAGGAUGGCAGGGCUUGUUCCAGAAGGCUUGAGGGUCCCCGAGUGCACCGCCCUCCCACCAAUUUCUGGUUUUUCCUGUUGGAGCCCAAGGAGCAAGGGCAGAAUGAAGAACAUGAUGUUUCCUACCGACAGUUACUCAUGACGUCUCCAUCCAGGACUGAGGGGGGCAUCCUUCUCCAUCUAGGACUGGGGGCAUCCUUCUCCAUCCAGUAUUGGGGGUCAUCCUCCUCCAUCCAGGACCUGAGGGGUGUCCUUUUCUGCGCUUCCUUGGAUGGCAGUCUUUCCCUUCAUGUUUAUAGUGACUUACCAUUAAAUCACUGUGCCGUUUUUUCCUAAAAUAUAUGGGGC